Molecule: long non-coding RNA, 666 nt
Organism: Actinia tenebrosa (Australian red waratah sea anemone)
Lineage: Eukaryota; Metazoa; Cnidaria; Anthozoa; Actiniaria; Actiniidae
Source: RefSeq, a predicted model, not a curated record
UUUAAAUCUGGCAUUAUUCAUCGAACGAAAGAGGAACGAGAAAACUGGAAGAAAAAACAAUUUGCAGUAAAGAAGUAAUAGGAUGAAAACCGGGCCGCAAAUCGGAGCCUUUAUUUGUUUUCUUGUCCUUCUGAAUCUUAAUGGACUUUGCCAAGGGAUGCUUGGCUGGAAAGGAUAUCCGGUAGGAAAGAAAGCAAUAUCCAAGAGAACUGAAGCAUACUGCAUAAUAGCCAGACAGAAGGGAUGUUGUCUACCGGACAGAAAACGAUCUAAGAUUGCUGAAAUCAUGGAUGUUCCUGAAAAGUUAACGGAAAAUAGACCUCACUGACAAGUACACGUAGGCAGCUCAGUUAUAUUUAAAAACAAUGCAACAAAGCAAAGGAUUGUAAGAAUCGUAAGGGAUUCUUGUGUAAUAUUAGUAGAAGUUAUAAUCCGCUGAGAAAAAUCCAGUGAUAAAUGCUCAAGCUAGGUUGAUUUGGACUUUCUUAUGUUGUUAAAGCUAUAGUUUUUAGUUUAAUAUCGCUCCUUGAUAACUUAAUGAUGUAAUCUCACCAAAAAAAGGAUUCUUUGUUAACCUAUCAUAGCAGUAUUGGAGACAAAGUACCAUUCACCAGCUACAGGAAUCAUAUACUUAAUAUUCCGUAAUAAAAUCUCACUUUAAUGCAA